UACGGAGGGUGCAAGCGUUAUCCGGAUUCACUGGGUUUAAAGGGUGCGUAGGUGGGUAUGUAAGUCAGUGGUGAAAUCCCCGAGCUUAGCUUGGGAACUGCCGUUGAUACUAUAUAUCUUGAAUAUCGCGUAGGUAAGCGGAAUAUGUCAUGUAGCGGUGAAAUGCUUAGAUAUGACAUAGAACACCAAUUGCGAAGGCAGCUUACUUCACGAUCAUUGACACUGAGGCACGAAAGCGUGGGGAGCAAACAGG
Molecule: ribosomal RNA, 253 nt
Filed under: uncultured bacterium
Lineage: Bacteria
Description: partial 16S ribosomal RNA
Rfam family: Bacterial small subunit ribosomal RNA
Source: RNAcentral